AAACUGCUUGCCCAAAGGGUUAGUAGGAGUGAAGUGUACGGCAGAAGUUAUGAUUGGAGACAAAAAAUGAACUGUCUGCUAGAUACAGGCUCACAAGUGACUACGGUCCCUCAAUCAUUUUAUGAAAAUAAUCUGACAGACUCUCCCUUGAAACCACUGGGUAACCUGUUAGAAGUUGAAGGGGCUAACGGUCAGGCUGUACCAUACUUAGGAUACAUUGAGUUAACCCUAAAGUUUCCUGCAACGUUCAUUGGGGUGGAAGUUGAAAUUCCUACUUUGGCGUUGGUGGUGCCAGACUUGACGAGUUCCCCACAGAUCCUAGUUGGAACUAACUCCCUUGAUGUGUUGUAUAGCAAGAGUGCCAAAGAGAGUUCAGUGAAGCUUCAGUCCAGUCUUUGUGGAUAUCAGGCAGUACUUAGAGUGUUGGAGGCCAGGUGGAUUCGAGCUACCAGCGAGAACCUUGGGUGUGUAAAAGUGAAAGGGACCUCUGUGGAAGUUAUACCUGCAAAAAGUACAGUAGUUUUGGAUGGUGCAGUUCAUCUGAAUGGGCCCUACAUGAAAGGAUGGGUGGCCCUUGAACCACCAUCGAUCCCUUUGCCGAAUGGAAUCUUGAUUGCAAGCUGUCUGCACUCUCUACCCCAUAAGCAUCCAACUAAGUUAUCAGUCCUGCUGAGGAAUGAGACACAAACUGACAUACGACUUACUCCUAAAACUGUGUUAGCGGAAAUCCAUGCAGUCCAGAGGAUCAUGGGCCAGCAUCAAGGUUUAAGCAAGGAACCAGUGGAGAGAGAACGUAACACUGGCAACCUCACCUUUGAUUUUGGAGACUCCCCUUUAUCUGCAGAAUGGAAGGAGAGGAUCUCAAAGUUUCUGAGUUCUAGGCCUGAAGUCUUCUCGCAGCAUGACCUUGAUUAUGGUCACACGGCAAAAGUGAAACAUCAAAUAAAACUAAGCAAUGAGACACCGUUCAAGCAUAGGGCUAGACCUAUUCACCCUCAGGACGUCGAUGCUGUGAGAGCUCACCUCCAAGAGUUAUUGUCAGCUGGAAUCAUACGCGAGUCCGAAUCCUCAUUUGCCUCGCCC
Long non-coding RNA from Cyprinus carpio carpio, 1083 nucleotides. NCBI's taxonomy places the organism in Eukaryota, Metazoa, Chordata, Actinopteri, Cypriniformes, Cyprinidae. The record is from Ensembl.